Molecule: long non-coding RNA, 478 nt
Organism: Nerophis ophidion (straightnose pipefish)
Lineage: Eukaryota; Metazoa; Chordata; Actinopteri; Syngnathiformes; Syngnathidae
Exons: 3
Source: RefSeq, a predicted model, not a curated record
ACUAGCCAAUGGGAUUUGUCAAAAAUCCGGAAGAGGAAGUCUAGGUUUUAAGAUUUUUGGUUGAAACUAUUUCAGUGUAACCCCAAAUAAUGGACUACAAUUUAAAAAAAUGUGACUUUGUUCAUAAAAAACAACAAAGAAUUGACAGAAAACAGCAAAGACUUUGCUCAUAUUUUUGGUCUCACAAUGGACAUCAGAAGACGUUAUCUUGGCUGUACGACUUAGAGAGAAAACAAGCAAAGAGAAAGUAAACAGAGAGAAGCAACAGAGAAAUACGAGAGUACACAAUCAAAGACAAAGAAAGAUGAGGAGUAGGCGGGGAAACGGAGGCUGACUUUCUAUCCAAGGAUCUUAACCAGCCGUGAGAUUGGACUGGAAUACCAAAACCAGAUACCUCCCCCCGGGGUUCCGUCCACCUCCAUCUUUACCCCUCAUCACCACGGAAGAGGUUGCCAAGGCAACGGAGCUGGAGGUCAGA